RNAcentral lists this ribosomal RNA (496 nucleotides) under uncultured bacterium. Its description in RNAcentral is "partial 16S ribosomal RNA". It matches the Rfam family "Bacterial small subunit ribosomal RNA", at positions 29 to 507 of the family's 1533-position model. The record is from RNAcentral.
AUGAACGCUGGCGGCGUGCCUAAUACAUGCACGUCGAGCGAACAGACGAGGAGCUUGCUCCUCUGACGUUAGCGGCGGACGGGUGAGUAACACGUGGAUAACCUACCUAUAAGACUGGGAUAACUUCGGGAAACCGGAGCUAAUACCGGAUAAUAUAUUGAACCGCAUGGUUCAAUAGUGAAAGACGGUUUUGCUGUCACUUAUAGAUGGAUCCGCGCCGCAUUAGCUAGUUGGUAAGGUAACGGCUUACCAAGGCAACGAUGCGUAGCCGACCUGAGAGGGUGAUCGGCCACACUGGAACUGAGACACGGUCCAGACUCCUACGGGAGGCAGCAGUAGGGAAUCUUCCGCAAUGGGCGAAAGCCCGACGGAGCAACGCCGCGUGAGUGAUGAAGGUCUUCGGAUCGUAAAACUCUGUUAUUAGGGAAGAACAAAUGUGUAAGUAACUAUGCACGUCUUGACGGUACCUAAUCAGAAAGCCACGGCUAACUACGUG